Molecule: unclassified non-coding RNA, 208 nt
Filed under: Hevea brasiliensis (rubber tree)
Lineage: Eukaryota; Viridiplantae; Streptophyta; Magnoliopsida; Malpighiales; Euphorbiaceae
Source: RNAcentral
GCAGUACAGGCUUUUUCUGUCCUUCAGCGAUAAGCCAUGAAACCUACAGAUAAAACCAGAAGGUCUAAAAAUAUCCAUAAAAGAUUGUUUAAUGUGACACUUAUGAAAAUGCUCUUUGUUGUCAACAAGUGUUUCAGAUAAUAUGGUUCAUUGUCUGAAACACUUGACUAAUAUGUCAAUAUAUUUAAUUCUCUCACCCUGUAUAAUG